GACGAACGCUGGCGGCAUGCUUAACACAUGCAAGUCGAACGGAAAGGCCCUGCUUUUGUGGGGUGCUCGAGUGGCGAACGGGUGAGUAACACGUGAGUAACCUGCCCUUGACUUUGGGAUAACUUCAGGAAACUGGGGCUAAUACCGGAUAGGAGCUCCUGCUGCAUGGUGGGGGUUGGAAAGUUUCGGCGGUUGGGGAUGGACUCGCGGCUUAUCAGCUUGUUGGUGGGGUAGUGGCUUACCAAGGCUUUGACGGGUAGCCGGCCUGAGAGGGUGACCGGCCACAUUGGGACUGAGAUACGGCCCAGACUCCUACGGGAGGCAGCAGUGGGGAAUAUUGCACAAUGGGCGGAAGCCUGAUGCAGCAACGCCGCGUGCGGGAUGACGGCCUUCGGGUUGUAAACCGCUUUCGCCUGUGACGAAGCGUGAGUGACGGUAAUGGGUAAAGAAGCACCGGCUAACUACGUGCCAGCAGCCGCGGUGAUACGUAGGGUGCGAGCGUUGUCCGGAUUUAUUGGGCGUAAAGGGCUCGUAGGUGGUUGAUCGCGUCGGAAGUGUAAUCUUGGGGCUUAACCCUGAGCGUGCUUUCGAUACGGGUUGACUUGAGGAAGGUAGGGGAGAAUGGAAUUCCUGGUGGAGCGGUGGAAUGCGCAGAUAUCAGGAGGAACACCAGUGGCGAAGGCGGUUCUCUGGGCCUUUCCUGACGCUGAGGAGCGAAAGCGUGGGGAGCGAACAGGCUUAGAUACCCUGGUAGUCCACGCUGUAAACGGUGGGUACUAGGUGUGGGGUCCAUUCCACGGGUUCCGUGCCGUAGCUAACGCUUUAAGUACCCCGCCUGGGGAGUACGGCUGCAAGGCUAAAACUCAAAGGAAUUGACGGGGCCCCGCACAAGCGGCGGAGCAUGCGGAUUAAUUCGAUGCAACGCGUAGAACCUUACCUGGGUUUGACAUGGAUCGGGAGUGCUCAGAGAUGGGUGUGCCUCUUUUGGGGUCGGUUCACAGGUGGUGCAUGGCUGUCGUCAGCUCGUGUCGUGAGAUGUUGGGUUAAGUCCCGCAACGAGCGCAACCCUUGUUCACUGUUGCCAGCACGUUAUGGUGGGGACUCAGUGGAGACCGCCGGGGUCAACUCGGAGGAAGGUGGGGAUGACGUCAAGUCAUCAUGCCCCUUAUGUCCAGGGCUUCACGCAUGCUACAAUGGCUGGUACAGAGAGUGGCGAGCCUGUGAGGGUGAGCGAAUCUCGGAAAGCCGGUCUCAGUUCGGAUUGGGGUCUGCAACUCGACCUCAUGAAGUCGGAGUCGCUAGUAAUCGCAGAUCAGCAACGCUGCGGUGAAUACGUUCCCGGG
This 1343-nucleotide ribosomal RNA is filed under the name uncultured bacterium. RNAcentral's name for it is "16S ribosomal RNA". It matches the Rfam family "Bacterial small subunit ribosomal RNA", at positions 28 to 1378 of the family's 1533-position model. The record is from RNAcentral.